Molecule: long non-coding RNA, 5795 nt
Organism: Marmota monax (woodchuck)
Lineage: Eukaryota; Metazoa; Chordata; Mammalia; Rodentia; Sciuridae
Exons: 2
Source: RefSeq, a predicted model, not a curated record
CACAGAUGCCUCUUUCCAUUUAUUUUCAUCUUAUUUAAUUCCUUUAAAAAAUAAAAAUUAAUUAACAUGUAAAAUUGUGGGUAUUUGUGGGUUACAUUCUUAUUAUGUUUAGAUACAUGUAUAUAAUGUAUAAUGUUCAGUUAGGACAAACAUCUGUUUUUUGAAAUAUGUAUAAUUUCUUUAUGAUAAAACAUUUAAAAUCAUUUCUUCUAAAUUUAUAAGUAUGCAGUACAUUAUCAUUCUCUAGUCACUUUCCUGUGCAAUAAAAUACCAGAUCUUAUUUCUCCUAAUUAUAAUUUAGUGCCUAUUGAUCAACCUUUCUCCAUGUCUUCCUCCCCCUAAUUUCCCUAGCCUCUGGUAAUCACCAUUCUCUACUCAACUUCUAUAAGAUCAACUUUUUAAGAUUCCAGAUAUGAGUGAGAUUAUGUAGUACUUGUUUUUCUAUGUCUGGCUUAUUUUGCUUAACAUAAUGACCUUCAGUUCCAUGCAUGUUGUCACAAAGGAUAGAAUUUCAUUUUUUUUUAAUGGACGAAUAAUGUUGCAUUCUAUCAAUGUACCACAUUUUCUUUAUGCAUUCAUCAGUUGGUGUAUACUUAGGUUGUUUCGUGUCUUCUCUAUUUCUUUUAGCAAUGUUUUUAGAUUUGAUCAUAAGAAGACUUUCACCUCCUUAGUUGGAUUUGUUCUUAAAUAUUUAAUUCUUCUAUAUACCAUUAAAAUUUUUUCUAUACUAUUAUAAAUGAAAUUUCUUUUUUCAUUUCCUUUUGGAUUGUUUAUUGCUGGUAUAUUGAAAUGUAACUGAUUUUGUGUGUUAAUCUUAAACCCUGCAAGUUUACUGAAUUUGUUUAUUAACUCCAACAUCUUUCUCAUGGAAUUACAUUUUUUUCUGUAUAUAGUUCUGCAACUUUCUAUAUAUCACUUGCAAAUAGUAACAGUCUUACCACUUUCUUACCAAUGUUGAUGCAUUUUAUUUCCUUUCUUGUCUAAGCACUGGAUAGAACUUCCAGCAUAACAUUGAAUAUCAGCAGUGAAAGUGUGCAUUUUCGUCUUGUUCCUGAUCUAAGAGGAAAAGUUUUUAGUCCUCUACCAUUGGGUAUGAUGUUAGUCAUGAGUUUUAACCCUUGAUAAUCCUGAGAAAUUUUCUUUCUAUUCAUAGUUUAUGAGAGUUUUUAUCGUGAAAGAGUAUUGAAGUUUUGUCAAAUGCCUUUUCUGCAUCAGUUGAAAUGAUCAUGUGGUUUUAUUCCCUUUUUUUCUAUUACUGUGAUAUAUUAGAUCAAUUUGCUUAUGUUGAACUAUUCUCUCAAGCCUGGGAUAAAUACUACUUGUUAUGAUGAAUAAUACUUUUAAUAUACCAUUGGAUUUGAUUUGAUUUUGUUGAGGAUUUUACAUUUAUUUCAAAGAGAUGUUGGUCUUUAUUUUUCUUUUUCCAUGAUAUAUUUCCUGCUUGGUAAUUUUGGCCUCAGAGAGCAAAUAAGGAAAUGUUCCCUCCUCUUGUAUUUUUCAUAAGAGUUUGAGAAGAAUCGAUGUUAAUUCUUUAAAAGUUUAGCAGAGUUCAUGGUGAAGCCGUCUAGGUCAGAGCUUUUCUUUGUUGGAGGUUUUGAUUGCUAAUUCAACCUCUUGUUAUAGGUUUUGAAAUUUUCUAUUUCAACUUGAAUCAGUUACUUUGUUUCAAGAAAUUUUUCCAUUUCAUCUAAAUUGUAUAAUUGGUUGGUAUAUAGAUGUUACACUUGUUAUUUAAUGCUUCUUUUAUUAAGCACCUUUUAUUUGUUAAGAUAUCCCCCCGUGUGUGUAUUCCCUUUUAACUCUUAUAACAACUUUAAGAUACAUGUGGUAAUAAGUGGUAUUGUCUCUAUUUCAUUAGGAGAAAAGAAACUAAAAUCCAAAAAUGUUAACUUUUCCAAGGACUUAACAUCUAGGAAAUAGCGGAGACAGAAUUCAGACUAAAGUUCUCCAAUUUGAUAUUUCACACUCUUGGGAACAUGGUUUCAGAAUAUCUGACACUUUUUGCUAUAAAAAUGUGAUUUUUAUCUGUAAGUUUAUCUAAAUGACAUACAGCCAGCCAUUCCUCUCUUCCAGAGUAUUUCAAAGUGGAGGUAUGUAACUACUAUUGGAAUAUUUGAUUAAUUAAAUCUAUCUACUUGCAGUGAAAGUAUUAUUGGAAUUCUUUGAUUAGCACCCUCAGUUUUAAAUGAGUGUUGAGGUCCAGAAAGAAGAGACUUAGUUUUAUGAACAUCAGGCAUUAUUCUGUGUCCUCUUCCUAUAUGGAGGCCAUAUCAUUGAUGAGCUCUCAUUAAGGCAUGUACUUUGAGUUGUUUUUGUUUGUUUGUUUUUUCAGCUGAUAUCUUAUAAUGGGGGUGAAUUUAUAUCAGUUCAUUCAUAUUCACUUAUUUAAUUGCCAUUGUGACAAAUUCCAUAGAUACUCAAAAUUCUGUAUGAAGCUAUGAAAUGAAUGAAGGAAUUAAGAUAGAUCCCUGGUUCUGAGUCUCUUCAAAGGUAUGCAAAACAAUGCUGAUGAACUUAGAAAAAAUCCUGGGAUCAAGAAUCUUUUCAUCAUUGAUUUUCUCCAAUGAAUAGAAAAGUACAAAUUUAGCCACAGAAAUAAGAGCAUGGUGAUCUCAGAAAUAUACAUCCUAAUCCUUUCUAAUUUUUUUAUCCAUUUGUCUUCAGAACAAAUUGAAGGUUCUGUUUUUUGAAGUUUUGCUGCAGUGUUAUGUUGUACAAAGAUAUAUUCAGACUUAUGAUAUUACCUCAGAGUACGAAGGAGUUGUAAUAGUUUGCUAUACUGAAUACAUCCCUCUAGGCAAGACCCAUGCAAAAUGAUAUAUCCAAGUUUGUAUCAGUAGUUGUGAUUCAGGUAUUUUCACAUUGUACCAAGAAUGGCAAUAGCUCUUAAAAGUGGGGUGCUAGGUGGGCAACUUGUCAUCAUCCUAUGAUGCCAUCACAAUAAUUUGUGAGACAGAGAUGGAUAGCACAUUUGGAGGGUGGAAUAUGAGGUAUGAGGCAGGAUUCCCAUUUAAGUGCAGUUACUGAGGAAUUCAUGAGUCCUGUCUCUUUGUUCUGUGCUCUUGUUUUGUUUUAUCUUGUCUUCUUUUGUUUUCUCUUAUACUCCUCACAAUAUCUCUAAAUGACUUCUGCAAUGUAUUACUAUCUGAAAUUAAUAUCUCAAGAUACUACAAGUCUCUGAUCAUUUGUUUUUCUGAAGUAUGAAAGUGAAUGGACAGAAUUUUACCCAUAGGAUUUUUUGCUCUUUAAAAAACAGAAUUUAUAUCUGAAUUACACACAUUAGGAGUUUUCUUCUGGGAGGUACCCUGAGUCUAAUGGGUCCUAGGUUCUUCGUACAAGCUUUCUUUCCUCUGUCAUUAAGUCCUACUAACUUUUGGCUUCAUUUCUGUACUCCAAAAUUUUAAGAAUUUACUUCUUCUCAUUUAGGGACUCUUGCUGUGGAGCUGCUUUGAUUCCAAAAGAAUGUUGCCUAUUCUAACAAGUAAAAUUAAUGUCAAGCAAAUUUUCCAUAGGCCUUUAAUCCUGUUUUUGUAUUUGGUCUGUAACCUUCAGAUAAAAAGUCAACUGGAAUAUCUAAAAGCCUGGAAAGUUGAAUUUACAGAAUGGGUAUUAUUUCUCGUAUUUAUGGUAUUUGGAGGUUGUCUUCUUAUACUAGAGGUAGCAAGGGCCAGAUUACCAUAGCGCCUAAAGUCAACCUGUUCCAACAGGCUUCAUCUUUCUUUGUGCACAUUUUAAAAGAAUAGGUCCUCAUGCAAGCAUUUCAAAUCCAGAGACAAAUUUGAAAAAAAAAAAUUGCUGCAACAUGUUGACUGAUUCUUUGCCAAGUCAACCACUGAGAACUUUUUUCAGUCAACUCUUACACAGAGAAAAUUAGAGGUGGUAGGAGGAAGCGCAUGAAACUUCAUUAUUAAAAACAAAACAAAACAAAUAACAAAAAAAACUAAACUUACAUUACCCUAAGUCACUCCCCCUCUGAGAUUUUUCUCUCCCAUUUUCAACCCUCAUCUCCCUCUCCUGCCUUUUCCUUUUUUCCCUCUCUUCUAAUCAUCUUCUGUGACAUACUCUGCUGCUCUAAUGUGAUCAUUUUUACUUUUAUUAUUGAUACAAUGGUAUGUGCCAGAGGAAUAGCUUUCUAAAGAUCUAUUCAGAUAGGUAGAUUCAAACCCGCAGAAAGGUUAAAAAUGUUUUUAAAAUAUGCUUGUCAACAGUGGGAAGAAAGCUGUUUGUAGCUAGCAGGUGAGCUGGAGAGUACUACAGGGUGUGGUAGAGAUAGUAAUAAAUUAACCGGCAAGCCAAAAACUAUAUUAAAAAAUCAGCUAUUUCAUAGCAUAGAAGCAUGACAGCUAUGAAAAAAGGAGUGCCCCGGGGAAUUCUUUUAGAGUUUGAUUUUUUUAAAUAUGUUUGACAUGAAAAAUGUUUUAGUACAAAUAAAGCAACUGGUAUUAAACUUUACAGGGAGGGGGGUUGUGGUUUAGAGUUAUUAUGAAUAAUGCAUGAUAUUUAAAGAAAGAACAGCUCUAAAAUGUUCUGGAAGGCAGUCCAUGUUGAUGGUUGGAAUGGUGAGUUUUUUCCCCCUAUUUUUGAAACAUCAUUAAUUCAGCAUCGUUUUGUGAUUUUUUUUAACUUGGUAUGAUAUCAACCAAGGAAAUACUAUUUGACUUAGAUUAGGAUUUUUUUUUCUUCAGAUAGUUUAGUUUAAAUAUCAAGAAGAUCAGUAGAAUUAUUUAAGCAUAAAGUGACAGUCAUUUACUAUAAAAAAUAAUUUGGCCUAGUUAUCUUUUUUAAAAAGCUCAUAUAGUACUGCAAACUAAAAUCAACCUCAUGGAAGGGGAAAAACAAGAUCAGAUAUUUUGAACAUUACUCCAUAGGAGAUCAGCACAAUGUAGUGUUAGUGAAUGCAUUGUAGCGGCACUCCAUAUGCAAUCAGAAGCCAAUUGUUACUGGACUGUGUACAGGCACACACUGUGCUCAAUGGUCUGAUGAGGUAUUAUGGAUAUGAUGCAAAGAGACUGUGUAGAUUAGAAGCUAACAAUUUGUUAAAAGUGAAAGCGACUUAACAUUUACAUUGGGCCAGCUGAGUAGCACUUCAUGUGGCAAGGGGAUGAGUUCCAAGAAACCAGGGACACUGGGAAGGCUCCAGGUAUUAGUGUCCAUGUAGAAAAAAAAAAAAAAAAGGUUAUAUUGCUUUCAGUUGACUACCUUUGUUACUGUGAUUCUUUAUAUAAUGUCUCUUCAUUAUUACAUUCAGCUUUCGGUGUAGAAAAGUUCAUGCAAAAUAGCAUAAUUAUAAAUGUCAAAAAUGUGUGGAGGAACAGCCUAUUAAAAUAUAGCCUAGAGAUAGUACAUAACACUGACUUUAAAUAAGUAGUGAAGCCAAAGUGACACUACAUUUAAUCAUUGGAAUUGUGUAAUUUAUCCACAAAUAUUAAUUUUUAGUUCAGUUACCAUUGUCACAGUAUGUUCUUCAUCACUCCUUCUUGGCUUUUGGAUUAUUGGCCACAUCCUCAGUUCUUAGGUCACAAAAAGUACUUAGGUCCUCUAUUUAGAAUGGCUGGAGUUACAAACACAUUGAGAUGUGACAUUGAUCUUAGCUAAAACAUGCUCAAUCUCUACCAGGCUUUUAGUGUAGGUAUCCCAUGUAAAAUGGUGGUUAUUUAAUAAAAUCAUUAUCAAAGAGUGUUUAAUCAGUGCUUUACAUGCAUGAUUUUUGUACUUGUUUCCACUAGUACAGUACUAGAGAUUAAACCAAACACACACACACACACACACACACACACACACACAACAUAUAUAUA